RNAcentral lists this long non-coding RNA (967 nucleotides) under Marmota monax (woodchuck). Lineage: Eukaryota; Metazoa; Chordata; Mammalia; Rodentia; Sciuridae. The record is from RNAcentral.
GCCUAGAACUGGGUCAGGCAUUGUAGAAAACAAACAUAAAGCACAGCUAUAUAAAAUACAAAACCCCUGCUUCGGCCCUCAAGCUGUCUACACACCAGUCAACAAAAUAUUUCAUUAACGUUUCUUCCCCAAGUGGAGUAAGUCUGUUUGCAUUCUGUGUGCUUGUAGGCGUGUGUGAUGCUGGGAGUGAACCGGAGCCUUGCACAUGCUAGUCUGGUGCUCUAACCCUGGCCCCUUAUUUGUAGUCUCCUUGUUGGGCUUGUAUUGCUCUCACGCUGUUUCAUACAUCGUAACUGAAGGGCCUUCUAAGUGUUUACCCACUUUUGUACAUAAUACUUGCCAUCAUGUUAAAAAAAUGGGAAGAUUAAUGAUGAGAGAAGACACUUUUCACUGGACCUGACUCAUGGGGAUGACCAACAUUAUCCAAAUCCAAAAAGACUGUUGUGUACACCCAAGUGCCAAUUUAUUGCUUUUAAAUGUGUGUGUGUGAGCUGGGAAGCCACUUUAUAACAAGGUUAUGGAUGACCAUGAACUUCCACCUGGGGCCCUGGUGAAAGAUUUUGAGUGCAUCUGGCAUCAGGCUCUGAGAAUCAACUCCUGCAUCUUCCACUGAGAAGGUGAUGUGCCCUGGGGCUGCCUGUGUCCCUGGGCCAGGCUGCCCUCUCACUCGGGCAGGACUAGAGGCUGCCCUUUCUCCCUGUUUCCACGGUGUCCCAGAAAGACUCCUCCUGACUGACGUAGUCUCUUUAGGUAUGUAACCUAAUCGUCCAGGGGAAAGUCAUGCUCUCUACCUCCACAGGCUUUCCUCUGGCUUUAAGAGGCUUUGUGUGUCUUUUUGGUCCAUUUUAUAGUCCAACUGCAAGAGGACUAGAAAACUUAUAAAAUAAGACAUGCAAACUCAUGUCUUAUUUCUGUCUCUGUUCUCCUCUGCUGCUUAGAGCCGGCCACCGCAUACCUGCUGUGCUAC